Molecule: ribosomal RNA, 445 nt
Filed under: uncultured bacterium
Lineage: Bacteria
Description: partial 16S ribosomal RNA
Rfam family: Bacterial small subunit ribosomal RNA
Source: RNAcentral
GUGAGGAAUAUUGGUCAAUGGACGAGAGUCUGAACCAGCCAAGUCGCGUGAAGGAAGACGGUUCUAUGAAUUGUAAACUUCUUUUGUGCAGGAAUAAAGUGGGUUACGUGUAACCUUUUGUAUGUACUGUACGAAUAAGGAUCGGCUAACUCCGUGCCAGCAGCCGCGGUAAUACGGAGGGUGCAAGCGUUAUCCGGAUUUAUUGGGUUUAAAGGGUGCGUAGGUGGAUUGAUAAGUCAGCGGUGAAAGUUUGCAGCUUAACUGUAAAAUUGCCGUUGAAACUGUCGGUCUUGAGUGCAAAUGAGGUAGGCGGAAUGUGUUGUGUAGCGGUGAAAUGCUUAGAUAUAACACAGAACUCCGAUUGCGAAGGCAGCUUACUGGGAUGCAACUGACACUGAUGCACGAAAGCGUGGGUAUCAAACAGGAUUAGAAACCCUGGUAGUCC